RNAcentral lists this non-coding RNA (30 nucleotides) under Homo sapiens (human). Lineage: Eukaryota; Metazoa; Chordata; Mammalia; Primates; Hominidae. The record is from RNAcentral.
UACAGCACUCUUUAUGACUGUCCCUCAGCA